CUACGGGGUGCUGCAGGCGAGAAAACUUUGCAAUGUGCGAAAGCACGACAAGGUUAAUCCGAGUGGUUUCUGCUAAAGGAACCUUUUGUCGGUCCUAGAAACACCGAUGAAUAAGGGGUGGGCAAGUUCUGGUGUCAGCCGCCGCGGUAAAACCAGCACCUCAAGUGGUCAGGAUGAUUAUUGAGCCUAAAGCAUCCGUAGCCGGCUCUGUAAGUUUUCGGUUAAAUCUGUACGCUUAACGUACAGGCUGCCGGGAAUACUGCAUAGCUAGGGAGUGGGAGAGGUAGACGGUACUCGGUAGGAAGGGGUAAAAUCCUUUGAUCUAUUGAUGACCACCUGUGGCGAAGGCGGUCUACCAGAACACGUCCGACGGUGAGGGAUGAAAGCUGGGGGAGCAAACCGGAUUAGAUACCCUUGUAGUC
RNAcentral lists this ribosomal RNA (422 nucleotides) under uncultured archaeon. Its description in RNAcentral is "partial 16S ribosomal RNA". It matches the Rfam family "Archaeal small subunit ribosomal RNA", at positions 323 to 746 of the family's 1478-position model. The record is from RNAcentral.